CACAUGCAAGUCGAACGGUAACAGGUUUCGGACGCUGACGAGUGGCGAACGGGUGAGUAAUACAUCGGAACGUGCCCAGUCGUGGGGGAUAACUACUCGAAAGAGUAGCUAAUACCGCAUACGAUCUGAGGAUGAAAGCGGGGGACCUUCGGGCCUCGCGCGAUUGGAGCGGCCGAUGGCAGAUUAGGUAGUUGGUGGGAUAAAAGCUUACCAAGCCGACGAUCUGUAGCUGGUCUGAGAGGACGACCAGCCACACUGGGACUGAGACACGGCCCAGACUCCUACGGGAGGCAGCAGUGGGGAAUUUUGGACAAUGGGCGAAAGCCUGAUCCAGCAAUGCCGCGUGCAGGAUGAAGGCCUUCGGGUUGUAAACUGCUUUUGUACGGAACGAAAAAGCUUCUCCUAAUACGAGAGGCCCAGACGGUACCGUAAGAAUAAGCU
This 441-nucleotide ribosomal RNA is filed under the name bacterium CYB25. RNAcentral describes it as "bacterial SSU rRNA". It matches the Rfam family "Bacterial small subunit ribosomal RNA", at positions 52 to 492 of the family's 1533-position model. The record is from RNAcentral.